Molecule: ribosomal RNA, 460 nt
Filed under: uncultured bacterium
Lineage: Bacteria
Description: partial 16S ribosomal RNA
Rfam family: Bacterial small subunit ribosomal RNA
Source: RNAcentral
CCUACGGGAGGCAGCAGUGAGGAAUAUUGGUCAAUGGACGAGAGUCUGAACCAGCCAAGCCGCGUGAAGGAUGAAUGCCCUAUGGGUUGUAAACUUCUUUUAUAUGGGAAUAAACUGUUCCACGUGUGGGCUUUUGUAUGUACCUUAAGAAUAAGGAUCGGCUAACUCCGUGCCAGCAGCCGCGGGAAUACGGAGGGUCCGAGCGUUAUCCGGAUUUAUUGGGUUUAAAGGGAGCGUAGGUGGUUUGUUAAGUCAGUUGUGAAAGUUUGGGGCUCAACCGUAAAAUUGCAGUUGAAACUGGCAGUCUUGAGUACAGUAGGGGUGGGCGGAAUUCGGGGUGUAGCGGUGAAAUGCGUAGAUAUCACGAAGAACUCCGAUUGCGAAGGCAGCUCACUGGACUGCAACUGACGCUGAGGCGCGAAAGUGUGGGUAGCAAACAGGAUUAGAUACCCUUGUAGUC